UACGUAGGGUGCGAGCGUUAAUCGGAAUUACUGGGCGUAAAGCGUGCGCAGGCGGUGAUGUAAGACAGAUGUGAAAUCCCCGGGCUCAACCUGGGAACUGCAUUUGGGACUGCAUCGCUGGAGUGCGGCAGAGGGGGAUGGAAUUCCGCGUGUAGCAGUGAAAUGCGUAGAUAUGCGGAGGAACACCGAUGGCGAAGGCAAUCCCCUGGGCCUGCACUGACGCUCAGACACGACAGCAUGGGGAGCGAACGGG
Molecule: ribosomal RNA, 253 nt
Filed under: uncultured bacterium
Lineage: Bacteria
Description: partial 16S ribosomal RNA
Rfam family: Bacterial small subunit ribosomal RNA
Source: RNAcentral